AGAGUUUGAUCCUGGCUCAGGAUGAACGCUAGCUACAGGCUUAACACAUGCAAGUCGAGGGGAAACGACAUCGAAAGCUUGCUUUUGAUGGGCGUCGACCGGCGCACGGGUGAGUAACGCGUAUCCAACCUGCCCAUCACUUGGGGAUAACCUUGCGAAAGUAAGACUAAUACCCAAUGAUAUCUCUAGAAGACAUCUGAAGGAGAUUAAAGAUUCAUCGGUGAUGGAUGGGGAUGCGUCUGAUUAGCUUGUUGGCGGGGUAACGGCCCACCAAGGCGACGAUCAGUAGGGGUUCUGAGAGGAAGGUCCCCCACAUUGGAACUGAGACACGGUCCAAACUCCUACGGGAGGCAGCAGUGAGGAAUAUUGGUCAAUGGGCGAGAGCCUGAACCAGCCAAGUAGCGUGCAGGAUGACGGCCCUAUGGGUUGUAAACUGCUUUUAUAAGGGAAUAAAGUGAGUCUCGUGAGACUUUUUGCAUGUACCUUAUGAAUAAGGACCGGCUAAUUCCGUGCCAGCAGCCGCGGUAAUACGGAAGGUCCGGGCGUUAUCCGGAUUUAUUGGGUUUAAAGGGAGCGUAGGCCGGAGAUUAAGCGUGUUGUGAAAUGUAGAUGCUCAACAUCUGCACUGCAGCGCGAACUGGUUUCCUUGAGUACGCACAAAGUGGGCGGAAUUCGUGGUGUAGCGGUGAAAUGCUUAGAUAUCACGAAGAACUCCGAUUGCGAAGGCAGCUCACUGGAGCGCAACUGACGCUGAAGCUCGAAAGUGCGGGUAUCGAACAGGAUUAGAUACCCUGGUAGUCCGCACGGUAAACGAUGGAUGCCCGCUGUUGGUCUGAGUAGGUCAGCAGCCAAGCGAAAGCAUUAAGCAUCCCACCUGGGGAGUA
This 884-nucleotide ribosomal RNA is filed under the name uncultured bacterium. Its description in RNAcentral is "bacterial SSU rRNA". It matches the Rfam family "Bacterial small subunit ribosomal RNA", at positions 8 to 882 of the family's 1533-position model. The record is from RNAcentral.